GAUGAACGCUGGCGGCGUGCCUAACACAUGCGAGUCGAACGGAGUCGUUUUGGAAAUCUCUUCGGAGAUGGAAUUCUCGACUUAGUGGCGGACGGGUGAGUAACGCGUGAGCAAUCUGCCUUUAAGAGGGGGAUAACAGUCGGAAACGGCUGCUAAUACCGCAUAAAGCAUUAAAUUCGCAUGUUUUUGAUGCCAAAGGAGCAAUCCGCUUUUAGAUGAGCUCGCGUCUGAUUAGCUAGUUGGCGGGGUAACGGCCCACCAAGGCGACGAUCAGUAGCCGGACUGAGAGGUUGAACGGCCACAUUGGGACUGAGACACGGCCCAGACUCCUACGGGAGGCAGCAGUGGGAAAUAUUGCGCAAUGGGGGAAACCCUGACGCAGCAACGCCGCGUGAUUGAAGAAGGCCUUCGGGUUGUAAAGAUCUUUAAUCAGGGACGAAACAAAUGACGGUACCUGAAGAAUAAGCUCCGGCUAACUACGUG
This 483-nucleotide ribosomal RNA is filed under the name uncultured bacterium. RNAcentral's name for it is "partial 16S ribosomal RNA". It matches the Rfam family "Bacterial small subunit ribosomal RNA", at positions 28 to 507 of the family's 1533-position model. The record is from RNAcentral.